This 1018-nucleotide ribosomal RNA is filed under the name Echinopleura sp. Its description in RNAcentral is "bacterial SSU rRNA". Lineage: Eukaryota; Metazoa; Arthropoda; Malacostraca; Isopoda; Desmosomatidae. The record is from RNAcentral.
AACUGUGGAAAAUCCAGAGCUAAUACGUGCAACUGAGCUCCGACCUCGGCGCGAGUCGUGGGAAGAGCGCAUUUAUUAGAUUCAAAACUGAUCGGUGUACUCCUUCGGGAUAGGCCGUUUUUCAAAAGUUUGAUGACUCCGGAUAACUUAGCCGAGCGCUACGGUCUUUAGUACCGGCGCCGUAUCUUUCAAGUGUCUGCCUUAUCAGCUUUCGAUUGUAGGUUAAACGCCUACAAUGGCUGUAACGGGUAACGGGGAAUCAGGGUUCGAUUCCGGAGAGGGAGCCUGAGAAACGGCUACCACAUCUAAGGAAGGCAGCAGGCACGCAAAUUACCCACUCCCAGCCCGGGGAGGUAGUGACGAAAAAUAACGAUGCGAGACUCUUCCGAGGCCUCGCAAUCGGAAUGAGUCCAUUUUAAAUCCUUGGACGAGGAUCCAUUGGAGGGCAAGUCUGGUGCCAGCAGCCGCGGUAAUUCCAGCUCCAAUAGCGUAUAUUAAAGUUGCUGCGGUUAAAAAGCUCGUAGUUGGACUUUCUAGAUCCAUUUCGUGGGUGAGUCGCUCUUWGUACUAACGUCUCGCUUNGUUCCUCGAUGACGUCGUCGCGGCUUUCUCUYUUCGGAGGGAUUCCCGGCGUUGCGGAAUCUUGCGGACGGUGAGGCGUUGUCUUAGAGUAUAGCUCGUCCGCGUUUGGUACAAUUAAAAAAUUGUCGGCUCGCUCGGAGUGCUCUUUACCGAGUGUUCCAGGGUGGCUGACACGUUCACUUUGAAAAAAUUAGAGUGCUUAAAGCGGGCUUAUUUACGGCCUGAAUGUCUGUGCAUGGAAUGAAGUAACAGGACCUCGAUUCUGUUGUUUUUGUCGGUUUUAAUGAACCGAGGUAAUGAUUAAAAGGGACAGACGGUGGCAUUAGUAUUGCGACGCUAGAGGUGAAAUUCUUGGACCGUCGCAAGACUAACUACUGCGAAAGCAUUUGCCGAGAAUGUUUUCAUUAAUCAAGAACGAAAGUUAGAGGAUCGAAGG